UACGGAGGGUGCAAGCGUUGUUCGGAAUUAUUGGGCGUAAAGCGCGCGCAGGCGGGGGGCUAAGUCUGAUGUGAAAUCCCUCGGCUCAACCGAGGACGUGCAUUGUAUACUGGCUAUCUUGAGUCCUGGAGAGGGGAGCGGAAUUCCCAGUGUAGAGGUGAAAUUCGUAGAUAUUGGGAGGAACACCAGUGGCGAAGGCGGCUUCCUGGACAGUGACUGACGCUGAGGCGCGAAAGCGUGGGUAGCAAACAGG
Molecule: ribosomal RNA, 253 nt
Filed under: uncultured bacterium
Lineage: Bacteria
Description: partial 16S ribosomal RNA
Rfam family: Bacterial small subunit ribosomal RNA
Source: RNAcentral